GAAGAACGCAGCGAAAUGCGAUAAGUAAUGUGAAUUGCAGAAUUCAGUGAAUCAUCGAAUCUUUGAACGCACCUUGCGCUCCUUGGUAUUCCGAGGAGCAUGCCUGUUUGAGUGUCAUG
RNAcentral lists this ribosomal RNA (119 nucleotides) under Phlebia sp. MG60. RNAcentral describes it as "5.8S ribosomal RNA". It matches the Rfam family "5.8S ribosomal RNA", at positions 38 to 154 of the family's 154-position model. From Rfam's summary of the family: 5.8S ribosomal RNA (5.8S rRNA) is a component of the large subunit of the eukaryotic ribosome. It is transcribed by RNA polymerase I as part of the 45S precursor that also contains 18S and 28S rRNA. Lineage: Eukaryota; Fungi; Basidiomycota; Agaricomycetes; Polyporales; Meruliaceae. The record is from RNAcentral.